Long non-coding RNA from Symphalangus syndactylus (siamang), 773 nucleotides. RefSeq lists it as uncharacterized. The record is from RefSeq and is a predicted model, not a curated record. Lineage: Eukaryota; Metazoa; Chordata; Mammalia; Primates; Hylobatidae.
CCUGGCUGUGGGGUCAGCUGCACAGGCCAGGAGCUCGAAGAUGGUGGCUGGCAGAAAGUGCAGUCCAAAGUACUCUGUUUUGUUUUGAUUGCGUUUUAAAAUGGGACAAAUAACAGCAUGUGUGUUUGCUGAUGGGAAAAAUUCAGGAGAAAAACAGUGAAGUUGAGGUGAGCCUCACAGGCUCAGGGGGGAAGACAGAGGAUCCCAAAGAUAACGUCCACUACAAACUCAAUUGCAUCCGCCCUGGGCCCUACGUUGAAGCCCUAAUCCCCACGGUGACUGCUUUUGGAGAUGGACCGUUCAGCACAUGAUGGAGGGACUGAGCUGCCCACAUCCUGGCCCUCCUGCUGGACUUUUAUUUUAAAGAAAAAUAAAACUAAUGUUAACUUCUAAGCAGCUUCCAAGCUCUGCGGCCCCGGAGAGGGUCAGCGAGGGGCCUCCACUGUCUGAGUCUGCUCCUGGCAACCGGCUCUCUGCACUCAGAGGCCCGGUCCCGGCAGCUGCCACGUUGCUCAGAAGUUCUGGCAGGGGGAGCCUGAAACCCCUGUCUGCUGGCGACACUCCCAGAGCUGCAGGAAAUCUCUACAUUUUAUUUUUUUUCUUAACAGACAAAAGUAUUUGACUCCAGAAUGAUUUCCAGGAAUUACAGUAUGAAAACUUCGUCUUUGAGAUUUUUAUUCUCUUCUUAAAAAAAUAAAAAUGAAAUCAAAGCAGAAGACACUGGUUGAGGAGACAGCACACCAGCACGUUCCACUUCACAACAAAACCUGCGU